This 1333-nucleotide long non-coding RNA is filed under the name Felis catus (domestic cat). RNAcentral describes it as "lncRNA (ENSFCAG00000053609.1)". The record is from RNAcentral. Lineage: Eukaryota; Metazoa; Chordata; Mammalia; Carnivora; Felidae.
AACCCCAAGGGCCUGGAACUUGACAGCUGGUAGACAUACAACAAAUACUUCCUGACUGAUGCUGGCUAUCAUCCCACGACUGCACUGUUCAUGAAGAUCAACCAACUCCUCAUGCUCUACUCCUUGACCACUGAGAGUCCUCGGGUUUCUUUUUCAAGAAAAUACUGAGCAGCCGGUGAAAAAUUCUACUUACCGAGUGAUUACAUUUUCUUGAAAACUUAUUCUGGCUAUGACUCAGCCUCGGGAGCUUGGUGGGUGUGAAUAUACCCUGGCUCCAGGUUCAAAGAAGCUCCACGCAGCUCUGCAGGUGGGUCCAACCCAGACACAUGGCUCUCAGUCUGCAAACAUCAUGUCUUCACUGCACAGCCUGCCCUCAUCGAGAAGGGUGUCUCCAGUCUUUCCAAGAACAUGACACAUGACAAAGUUAGGACAGGACCGUAGACUCUCCAAGCUCCCUAUUGUACAUGACAUGGUUUAAAGAAUCAGAGUUUUCCUGAAAGAGGCUGCACACUUCUAUUCCUGGAGACCAGGAAGGAUGUGGAAAAUGAUCACCUAAAACGUCUCCUGUGAAUGUAAGACCGUCAGCGGGAGAGACUGAGAUCACCAGGUGGGACAGAAAGAAAGGUGGAGAAAAAACCCCUCCGGAAGUAGAAGUGCAGGAAAGGUGUCAAAAUGAUAGUUGAGAACCCACGUAAGGGUGGCAAAUGUGUCCCGGUCCUCUUCGUGGCUCCAGAAUCUAGCAGAGAGUGAGGCACUAAGAGGGAAGGAAUCAGUAAAUGUCGGUGGAGUGGAGUGGAACAUUUACUCUUCUCCUUUAUUUGCUAUUUAGCACAUCUCAGUUCAGGUCUGCAAAAAUCCAGAGCUGCCUGGAUCUGCAUAGAUGUUUCCUGAAGCAUGUCAUUUCCUUUGGGGCGUGGCUGAACAAUCGGUCGUUGAAACAUUUAAAAAUCACGAAUUCAGAUUUGGUACAGAAGUUGCUGUGGAGGACUCAGAAAUUCCAGAAUGUCCUGGAACAUUCCAAUAGACCAGCAUUCAACAAAGCUUUAACUGGUAACUUCUAUACCUGUACUUGAGACAGAUGGAUGAACUUGACCCAUUCGGCCAGCUUCCAUGUUAUUUUUGGUGAAUCUGGCUUCUUCCCUUCCCUUAGUGGCUCAAUUGAUGACCUCAGGCAAACUUUGUCUUCAAAGAGUCAAAUAGUAAAUAUUUUUGGUCUUUUGGGCCAUACAGUUUCUACUCAGCUCUACCACUUCAGUGCAAAAGCAGCCUUAGAUGAUGUGUAAACGAAUGAACGAUGCUUGUGUUCCAAUAAAACUUUAUGGGCGCUGAAUCA